Molecule: ribosomal RNA, 482 nt
Filed under: uncultured bacterium
Lineage: Bacteria
Description: bacterial SSU rRNA
Rfam family: Bacterial small subunit ribosomal RNA
Source: RNAcentral
AAUUCGCCCUUAGAGUUUGAUCAUGGCUCAGAUUGAACGCUGGCGGCAUGCCUUACACAUGCAAGUCGAACGGCAGCGCGGACUUCGGUCUGGCGGCGAGUGGCGAACGGGUGAGUAAUACAUCGGAACGUACCCUGUUGUGGGGGAUAACUAGUCGAAAGAUUAGCUAAUACCGCAUACGACCUGAGGGUGAAAGUGGGGGACCGCAAGGCCUCACGCAGCAGGAGCGGCCGAUGUCUGAUUAGCUAGUUGGUGGGGUAAAGGCCCACCAAGGCGACGAUCAGUAGUUGGUCUGAGAGGACGAUCAGCCACACUGGGACUGAGACACGGCCCAGACUCCUACGGGAGGCAGCAGUGGGGAAUUUUGGACAAUGGGGGCAACCCUGAUCCAGCAACGCCGCGUGUGUGAAGAAGGCCUUCGGGUUGUAAAGCACUUUUGUCCGGAAAGAAAUCGCGCUGGUUAAUACCUGGCGUGGAUGACG